CGCCAGUCGCCGCCGCGCGCGCCGAGGACGAGCCUGCGGCCCCGGGGCCCCGGCAGCCCGGGCAGCGAGCACGGCCGCUUCUGAGGAGCCUCCCGCUGAGGAUGGGGAACCACGUGGGCAAGCGCGAGUUGAACGUGGAGAAGUCCGCUAAGGAGGCCGACACGCACAGAGGAGAACUCGAGAGGAAGAGGAACCUCCGAGAGCUGGCGCAGAGCUCCUCUGAAGACAACGAGGUGUUUGGAGAGCCAGAUGCGAGCCACAACAAUGGGGUCUCGGCUAGGGACACGGUGGUGACAGACUCCAGGAGCACAACCGACCCAAAGAAUGCCUGGCAGGACGCCCGCCCAGCUGACCCCAGGGGCCGCCCCCACUUGAUCCGCCUCUUUUCCCGAGAUGCCCCGGGCAGGGAGGACAACACCUUCAAAGACAGGCCCUCCGAGUCCGACGAGCUCCAGACCAUCCCAGAAGACAGCACAGCAGCUCCGCAGGACACUGACGCGAUGGCGUCCCAGAAGAGGCCCUCCCAGCGGCACGGCUCCAAGUACCUGGCCACAGCGAGCACUGUGGACCAUGCCCGCCAUGGCUUCCUGCCCCGGCACAGGGACACGGGCUUCCUCGACUCCAUCGGCCGCUUCUUCAGUGGCGACAGGGGUGCGCCCAAGCGGGGCUCUGGCAAGGUGAGCUCCGAGGAGUAGGGCGCCUCGAUGUUGGUGGGCACGGGACAGAAGGCCGCUGGGGGGCCUGUUGGCAGAAGGACUUGGCCAGUGGCCUCCCAGCGGGGCAGGGCGGGGUGCCCAGGCACCCUCCUCUCCAUAAGGGAUGGUAAUUGGGCGUGGCCCAGGAACACAAGGACCUAUGACCGCCGAGGUGGCCUGGCGUGUGGGCUGUGAGGCCAGUGCCGUGUUCUCAUGCACGUGGGGACUUGCGCCUGACUGUGCCUCUGCUUCCCCCACUUCUGGGCUGUGUCCUGAGCCACUGGUCACUCACUGCUUGGUGACAUGCAUAAGGUAGCUCAGGACUUGGAGCAAACGCCCUGCCGUGAGUCUGCCUCAAGUUGUGUGCUUUCUCUUUGGUCUGAGCUGUGUCCUGGGGCGAGGUGGGGAGUGCUUGGGGGUCUGCAAGUCCAGCCCUGGUCACUGGGGGUGGCACUCUUGCGAAUCACCUUGACAUAUGUGCUGUAGGUGGAAAUCUCUCCUCAUGGGGUCGGCUGGUAUCCCCUAGGGACCAGGUGGCAUGACUGACACCUUGCCCAGGAACUGAGACCCAGCUGGCAUUCCAACCACAAUGUAGACUUGCCUGUGGUCAGCUGGUCCAUGUCCCCUGGCUUUACAUGGCUUUUGAGUAAAGUGGCAGGCCCAGGCCCUCCGUGCCAUACCACACCUUAUAAAACCACCAGGCCCCUAGCACUCUUCUCUCCCUAACCAUAGUCGUUGACAUGAUUGGUGACGGCAAAACCCUUGAAGACAAACCCAGAUGCCAGGACUUACUGCCCUAUGGCAUCAAAGCACUCUGGCUUCUGGAUACCCACCCAGCCCCACCAUGGGCUCCGGGUCCAGGGCAUAGGGUGGUGUGACAUGGCCAUGCCCGGUGUGGGAACAGCGCUUGGUGAAGCCUCAGUGUUGCAAGAUUCCCCUGUCCCACUGGCCCCUGCAGUGUCAUUCACGAAGGUGACUGCCACGCAGCGCCCUGCCUCGUGCCCACUUCCCCAGGAGUUGGCUUACCUGGCAGGACUGGCAAGCCAUGGCCAUGCCAGGACUGUGACCUUCCUAGGGUGUUGGGCUCUUAGGCCGAACCCCGUGCCAAGGGGUGGCAGUCGGAGACCUCAGCCAUGGAGUGUCACUCAGGGACAGGGACCACCUGCUUAGACAAUGCGGUGUGAGCCAGCGAGCACCAAGCCAACCUCAGGCAGCAGUGCUGGUCUCGGGGAAGCGGCAUGUCACCAGCAUGACAUUUGGCAGAGCACAUAGGUGUGCAUAUGAACACAUACACAUGUGUCCUUUAAAAUCAUGAGCGUUUUCCCAAAGAUUCAGAGUGAGUGAAUCUCCUUGGCGAUAGAUUAUCCAGGAUUUAAAAAAGGAAAAAAGGUUCUGCAGUCUUUUGUGAAAGUAGAGGUUGUAAAUAGCUGGCUUUGAAACACUGAGGCGCCCACGGACUUUACUGCUGACCUGAGCAAGGCAGAGGAGGGUCCUGUGGGGGCCCGGACCUGGGAAGAAGGCAGCCUGAGGACUCAGCCUAUCCCCGCCCCCCUCCAGUCGGUGUGGGGCAGCCAAGCUCCACUGCUCCACACCGACUGCAGGUGGAUUCCUGCAAGGCCUCCCGGGACAGCCAUGCACCCCCUUCCACUCUCAGCACCCCAGUGGGGCUGUGCAUCGCCCACCCCACAGCACCCCUGCCCUCCCCCGCAGCCCCAGGCCUGAUGGGUCCGGCCAUCCCUGGGCUGUAUAACCCUCCUCGACCUCUGGGGCUGUUGAGGGUGCGGGUGCAUUCCUCAGCGUGCCCUCCUGGGCUGUGGGAAGUCAGGGCAGCCUGUCUGCUGCCCAGGCCCUCAGGGUGGCUCUGGGGAAAGAUGGAGCUACACCCCACCACCACUUCACUGCUGUCACCAAGCUAAGGAUGGGGCCCAUGGGGACCUGGUGGCUGAUCCUGUGGCUCUGUGGUGGAAGGAGGGGCUCCCAGAGGAGGCAGCACCCCUGCCCGCCCAGGCCGCCCGCACUGAAGCUGCUCACACUGCUGCGUGAUUGAUGGUGAAAGCCCUGGGUGUCAGCCUGCUGGUGCUGUGUGACUCAGCGUGCCCGGCCUCUCCCUCAGGCUGGGCAGCGGCGAGCACUCAGCCAGGCUGCACAGAGUUCAGCCAGCUGGUGCCUGGCUUUGGUGGCAUUUCAGUUUGCCAAGUGACCCGCUUCUGUAGGGCUGACAUGGUCUCCCCCGUGUGGCAUGUGCCUGGCAGCUUGUGGGAGGCAAUGGUGUGUGCCCAGAGAGCAGCAGGAAGAAGGCACAGCCCAUCCCUGUCUCUGAGGGCCAAGACCAGGCGCUCAGGAGGAUGGCAGGCGUGGCCAGAGAUGCUGCAGGAGUGGGCAUGCUCGGCUCUGCCCUGGCAGACGCUGGCGCAGAGCUCCUGCAGGAUCUUGCUGAAGCAGUGUUGCCCUGAUGGGCGACUGUCCACCUGCUCUGUCCUGCUGUCUCCCGUGGGUUGUCUCCCGUGGGUUGUCUCCCGUGGGCCAUCUCCCGUGGACUGUCUCCCGUGGGCCGUGGCGUGGCUGGGGAAGUUAAGUUUGUGUAUUUAAGGGGGGAGUGCCUUCUGGGGACUGGAUCACAACUUGGUUUGUGACACAUUUUGCUUCCUGUGUAUUUCUGCCUUUGUAUGCACUUAUUAAAACAAUGUACCAGACCA
Ochotona curzoniae (black-lipped pika) is the source of this 3391-nucleotide RNA transcript. It is a transcript of the gene named myelin basic protein, with no coding region annotated. NCBI's taxonomy places the organism in Eukaryota, Metazoa, Chordata, Mammalia, Lagomorpha, Ochotonidae. The record is from RefSeq and is a predicted model, not a curated record. The transcript is spliced from 5 exons.